Long non-coding RNA from Nematostella vectensis (starlet sea anemone), 628 nucleotides. RefSeq lists it as uncharacterized. The record is from RefSeq and is a predicted model, not a curated record. Lineage: Eukaryota; Metazoa; Cnidaria; Anthozoa; Actiniaria; Edwardsiidae. The transcript is spliced from 2 exons.
CCGAAGUCAGACAUCCUUAUUGUCUGGAACUAAGGUUACGCUCACCUAGACAACCAAUCGCAGUCAAGCUACCAUGAAGACAUCAGACCUAUUUUCUUUCUCCUCGAAUAAGUUGAACAUUUUUGCUUUAAAUGAAGACUAAAGGCGGAAUGUCAAUAUUUGCAAAGUAUGCAAGGAUGACGAUGGAGAAGACUGGCUGGGUUGUGACGCAUGUGGCCAGUACUUCCACUGCGGCUGUUUACCGGGCGUCAAUUUCGCCGAGGCUGUAACCGGCGUUUUCUUCAGCCCUUGUUAAUAUUAUAUGUUAGUCGUGAAGUAUUCCGCAUAUCUGCCAGAGAUUUCUAGUAUCCCCAAUAGUCACGCAAAAGUAGCGAGGGAUCAGUUUCCUCGGAUGUGAGAGAGAAACUAGAGAUAGCCGUAUUAGUCGGAGCAGUUUGGCAGUUUCACCGAGGAUGUGUAAUUAGAGGGACAAUAGGAGAGCCCGAAGCUAUAGACAAAGCUAGUAUGGGUAUUGUAUAUGGUCCUAUGACAGUAGGUUAGAUAGUGAUUGUGUCAUGUAACACGAGCAUUGUAUUUAGUUAGAGUUAGACUAGUGAAUAAAGGCAAGCCAUCAAGGCUAAACAGUCAA